This is a long non-coding RNA of Gavialis gangeticus (Gharial), 520 nucleotides long. RefSeq lists it as uncharacterized. The transcript has 3 exons. The record is from RefSeq and is a predicted model, not a curated record. Lineage: Eukaryota; Metazoa; Chordata; Crocodylia; Gavialidae.
AUCUGAUCCAAGUACCCAGAUCUUCUGAAUACCCAUCUGUGAAAGUGGAUUUGCUGCACUUGUUGAGCUCAAGAUAAAGUACCAAAAUAAACUGGAUGUAAUGCCAGAUGUGAGGUCAUAACUUCCAUCAAGUCAAUGUGACUUUAAUGCACUCUUUUUGCUGAUGCAGCUACAUCCAUCUCCUCAAUAUUUCUCAAUGAAAAGGUCUGGACUCCUGUACUGCAGAGCUUAUAUCCCUUAUUGGCUUGCCCGAACCUGAACCUGUGGACUCUUGAAACACCUAGUGAAGCCUGCCUGCCCUGCAGGAGGAUGAGGAGGCAGAAGAAGGGAGAGUUACUCCAAGGAAGCUGCUUUUCUGUUGGAGUUUCUGCCAAUAGCUGUGCUUACUUUGGUCUUCAUCAGCACGAUACUGGAGCACUGCACAUUCACAGUGGACUUUAUCUUCACAGCACCUAGGGGAGAAGGGCAAAACUAUCCUGAGUUUGUAAAGCUGAGGCAUAGGGUGGAUUAAAUGAUUUAC